Molecule: ribosomal RNA, 496 nt
Filed under: uncultured bacterium
Lineage: Bacteria
Description: partial 16S ribosomal RNA
Rfam family: Bacterial small subunit ribosomal RNA
Source: RNAcentral
AUGAACGCUGGCGGCGUGCCUAAUACAUGCAAGUCGAGCGAACGGACGAGAAGCUUGCUUCUCUGAUGUUAGCGGCGGACGGGUGAGUAACACGGGGAUAACCUACCUAUAAGACUGGGAUAACUUCGGGAAACCGGAGCUAAUACCGGAUAAUAUUUUGAACCGCAUGGUUCAAAAGUGAAAGACGGUCUUGCCGUCACUUAUAGAUGGAUCCGCGCUGCAUUAGCUAGUUGGUAAGGUAACGGCUUACCAAGGCAACGAUGCAUAGCCGACCUGAGAGGGUGAUCGGCCACACUGGAACUGAGACACGGUCCAGACUCCUACGGGAGGCAGCAGUAGGGAAUCUUCCGCAAUGGGCGAAAGCCUGACGGAGCAACGCCGCGUGAGUGAUGAAGGUCUUCGGAUCGUAAAACUCUGUUAUUAGGGAAGAACAUAUGUGUAAGUAACUGUGCACAUCUUGACGGUACCUAAUCAGAAAGCCACGGCUAACUACGUG